GAUGAACGCUGGCGGCGUGCUUAACACAUGCAAGUCGAACGAGAAAUGUAGACGGAAACCUUCGGGCGGAAGCCUUCAUUUCGAGUGGCGGACGGGUGAGUAACGCGUGGGUAACCUGCCUCAUACAGGGGGAUAACAGUUGGAAACGACUGUUAAUACCGCAUAAGACCACAGCAUCGCAUGAUGCGGGGGUAAAAACUCCGGUGGUAUGAGAUGGACCCGCGUUCGAUUAGCCAGUUGGCGGGGUAACGGCCCACCAAAGCGACGAUCGAUAGCCGAUCUGAGAGGCUGACCGGCCACAUUGGGGCUGAGACACGGCCCAAACUCCUACGGGAUGCAGCAGUGGGUAAUAUUGCACAAUGGCGUAAACCCUGAUGCAGCGACGCCGCGUGAGUGAAGAAGUACUUCGGUAUGUAAAGCUCUAUCAGCAGGGAAGAAAAUGACGGUACCUGAGUAAGAAGCCCCGGCUAACUACGUG
Molecule: ribosomal RNA, 478 nt
Filed under: uncultured bacterium
Lineage: Bacteria
Description: partial 16S ribosomal RNA
Rfam family: Bacterial small subunit ribosomal RNA
Source: RNAcentral